Molecule: ribosomal RNA, 253 nt
Filed under: uncultured bacterium
Lineage: Bacteria
Description: partial 16S ribosomal RNA
Rfam family: Bacterial small subunit ribosomal RNA
Source: RNAcentral
GACGUAGGAUGCAAGCGUUGUCCGGAUUUAUUGGGCGUAAAGAGUUCGUAGGCGGUUCGUUAAGUCUGAUGUUAAAGACUGGGGCUCAACCCCGGGAGUGCAUUGGAUACUGGCGGACUGGAGUGUGGUAGAGGCUAGUGGAAUUCCCAGUGUAGCGGUGAAAUGCGUAGAUAUUGGGAAGAACACCGGUGGCGAAGGCGACCAUCUGGACCGGAACUGACGCUGAGGCGCGAAAGCCAGGGGAGCGAAUGGG